This 423-nucleotide ribosomal RNA is filed under the name uncultured bacterium. Its description in RNAcentral is "partial 16S ribosomal RNA". It matches the Rfam family "Bacterial small subunit ribosomal RNA", at positions 360 to 775 of the family's 1533-position model. The record is from RNAcentral.
AAUAUUGGACAAUGGGGGCAACCCUGAUCCAGCCAUUCUGCGUGUGUGAAGAAGGUAUUUGGAUUGUAAAGCACUUUAAGUUGGGAGGAAGGGAUUUAGGCUAAUACCCUGAAGUUCUUACGUUACCAACAGAAUAAGCACCGUCUACUCCUGUGCCAGCUGCCGCGGUAAUGCAGAGGGUGCAAGCGUUAAUCGGAAUUACUGGGCGUAAAGCGCGCGUAGGUGGUUCAGUAAGAUGGGUGUGAAAUCCCCGGGCUUAACCUGGGAACUGCUUUCAUAACUGCUGAGCUAGAGUACGGUAGAGGGUAGUGGAAUUUCCUGUGUAGCGGUGAAAUGCGUAGAUAUAGGAAGGAACACCAGUGGCGAAGGCGACUACCUGGACUGAUACUGACACUGAGGUGCAAAAGCGUGGGGAGCAAACAG